This 208-nucleotide non-coding RNA is filed under the name Staphylococcus haemolyticus JCSC1435. RNAcentral describes it as "Staphylococcus sRNA 35 (srn_0335)". It matches the Rfam family "Staphylococcus sRNA 35 (srn_0335)". Rfam says of the family: Other name: Srn_0335, SAOUHSCs258. The record is from Rfam by way of RNAcentral. Lineage: Bacteria; Bacillati; Bacillota; Bacilli; Caryophanales; Staphylococcaceae.
UUAUUCAGAAAAAAGGGAGCUGAACAGAAUUCAUAUUGAAUUCGUCGUCCACUCCCAGCUUGCUUUGCUUGUAGAAUUUCUUGAUGAAAUUCUCUUUGCUGGGGCCCCGCCCGCAAGGAUGACUAGAACUGAGAAAAGCUUAAUUUAGGCGCCUUCUCAGUUCAGUCAGCUACUGCGAAUUUGCAAAAUAGCAUCAUUAUAUUAUUUA